GACGAACGCUGGCGGCGUGCUUAACACAUGCAAGUCGAACGGAAAGGCCCUGCUUUUGUGGGGUGCUCGAGUGGCGAACGGGUGAGUAACACGUGAGUAACCUGCCCUUGACUUUGGGAUAACUUCAGGAAACUGGGGCUAAUACCGGAUAGGAGCUCCUGCUGCAUGGUGGGGGUUGGAAAGUUUCGGCGGUUGGGGAUGGACUCGCGGCUUAUCAGCUUGUUGGUGGGGUAGUGGCUUACCAAGGUUUUGACGGGUAGCCGGCCUGAGAGGGUGACCGGCCACAUUGGGACUGAGAUACGGCCCAGACUCCUACGGGAGGCAGCAGGGGGGAAUAUUGCACAAUGGGCGGAAGCCUGAUGCAGCAACGCCGCGUGCGGGAUGACGGCCUUCGGGUUGUAAACCGCUUUCGCCUGUGACGAAGCGUGAGUGACGGUAAUGGGUAAAGAAGCACCGGCUAACUACGUG
RNAcentral lists this ribosomal RNA (468 nucleotides) under uncultured bacterium. RNAcentral describes it as "partial 16S ribosomal RNA". It matches the Rfam family "Bacterial small subunit ribosomal RNA", at positions 28 to 507 of the family's 1533-position model. The record is from RNAcentral.